Molecule: unclassified non-coding RNA, 17 nt
Filed under: Mus musculus (house mouse)
Lineage: Eukaryota; Metazoa; Chordata; Mammalia; Rodentia; Muridae
Description: oocyte_clustered_small_RNA4775
Source: RNAcentral
GGGCGUAUUCCAGGGAG